Molecule: ribosomal RNA, 2992 nt
Filed under: Salmonella enterica subsp. enterica
Lineage: Bacteria; Pseudomonadati; Pseudomonadota; Gammaproteobacteria; Enterobacterales; Enterobacteriaceae
Description: 23S ribosomal RNA
Rfam family: Bacterial large subunit ribosomal RNA
Source: RNAcentral
GGUUAAGCGACUAAGCGUACACGGUGGAUGCCCUGGCAGUCAGAGGCGAUGAAGGACGUGCUAAUCUGCGAUAAGCGCCGGUAAGGUGAUAUGAACCGUUAUAACCGGCGAUUUCCGAAUGGGGAAACCCAGUGUGACUCGUCACACUAUCAUUAACUGAAUCCAUAGGUUAAUGAGGCGAACCGGGGGAACUGAAACAUCUAAGUACCCCGAGGAAAAGAAAUCAACCGAGAUUCCCCCAGUAGCGGCGAGCGAACGGGGAGGAGCCCAGAGCCUGAAUCAGCAUGUGUGUUAGUGGAAGCGUCUGGAAAGGCGCGCGAUACAGGGUGACAGCCCCGUACACAAAAGCGCAUGUGCUGUGAGCUCGAUGAGUAGGGCGGGACACGUGGUAUCCUGUCUGAAUAUGGGGGGACCAUCCUCCAAGGCUAAAUACUCCUGACUGACCGAUAGUGAACCAGUACCGUGAGGGAAAGGCGAAAAGAACCCCGGCGAGGGGAGUGAAAAAGAACCUGAAACCGUGUACGUACAAGCAGUGGGAGCACAGGUUUACCUGUGUGACUGCGUACCUUUUGUAUAAUGGGUCAGCGACUUAUAUUCUGUAGCAAGGUUAACCGAAUAGGGGAGCCGGAGGGAAACCGAGUCUUAAUUGGGCGUUAAGUUGCAGGGUAUAGACCCGAAACCCGGUGAUCUAGCCAUGGGCAGGUUGAAGGUUGGGUAACACUAACUGGAGGACCGAACCGACUAAUGUUGAAAAAUUAGCGGAUGACCUGUGGCUGGGGGUGAAAGGCCAAUCAAACCGGGAGAUAGCUGGUUCUCCCCGAAAGCUAUUUAGGUAGCGCCUCGUGAAUUCAUCUCCGGGGGUAGAGCACUGUUUCGGCUAGGGGGCCAUCCCGGCUUACCAACCCGAUGCAAACUGCGAAUACCGGAGAAUGUUAUCACGGGAGACACACGGCGGGUGCUAACGUCCGUCGUGAAGAGGGAAACAACCCAGACCGCCAGCUAAGGUCCCAAAGUCAUGGUUAAGUGGGAAACGAUGUGGGAAGGCCCAGACAGCCAGGAUGUUGGCUUAGAAGCAGCCAUCAUUUAAAGAAAGCGUAAUAGCUCACUGGUCGAGUCGGCCUGCGCGGAAGAUGUAACGGGGCUAAACCAUGCACCGAAGCUGCGGCAGCGAACGUAUCACCCAAGACAACUUUACGGAGUUGACGAUUGACGGAGCGAAGCGACGUCAAAGCGUUCAUUAAAGUCGAGUUGGCUUAGGGAUACGUUCGUUGGGUAGGGGAGCGUUCUGUAAGCCUGUGAAGGUGUGUCGUGAGGCAUGCUGGAGGUAUCAGAAGUGCGAAUGCUGACAUAAGUAACGAUAAAGCGGGUGAAAAGCCCGCUCGCCGGAAGACCAAGGGUUCCUGUCCAACGUUAAUCGGGGCAGGGUGAGUCGACCCCUAAGGCGAGGCCGAAAGGCGUAGUCGAUGGGAAACGGGUUAAUAUUCCCGUACUUGGUGUUACUGCGAAGGGGGGACGGAGAAGGCUAUGUUGGCCGGGCGACGGUUGUCCCGGUUUAAGCGUGUAGGUGUGUGUUCCAGGUAAAUCCGGUUCACUUUAACACUGAGGCGUGACGACGAGGCACUACGGUGCUGAAGCAACAAAUGCCCUGCUUCCAGGAAAAGCCUCUAAGCAUCAGGUAACAUCAAAUCGUACCCCAAACCGACACAGGUGGUCAGGUAGAGAAUACCAAGGCGCUUGAGAGAACUCGGGUGAAGGAACUAGGCAAAAUGGUGCCGUAACUUCGGGAGAAGGCACGCUGACACGUAGGUGAAGUGAUUUACUCAUGGAGCUGAAGUCAGUCGAAGAUACCAGCUGGCUGCAACUGUUUAUUAAAAACACAGCACUGUGCAAACACGAAAGUGGACGUAUACGGUGUGACGCCUGCCCGGUGCCGGAAGGUUAAUUGAUGGGGUCAGCGCAAGCGAAGCUCCUGAUCGAAGCCCCGGUAAACGGCGGCCGUAACUAUAACGGUCCUAAGGUAGCGAAAUUCCUUGUCGGGUAAGUUCCGACCUGCACGAAUGGCGUAAUGAUGGCCAGGCUGUCUCCACCCGAGACUCAGUGAAAUUGAACUCGCUGUGAAGAUGCAGUGUACCCGCGGCAAGACGGAAAGACCCCGUGAACCUUUACUAUAGCUUGACACUGAACAUUGAGCCUUGAUGUGUAGGAUAGGUGGGAGGCUUUGAAGUGUGGACGCCAGUCUGCAUGGAGCCGACCUUGAAAUACCACCCUUUAAUGUUUGAUGUUCUAACGUGGACCCGUAAUCCGGGUUGCGGACAGUGUCUGGUGGGUAGUUUGACUGGGGCGGUCUCCUCCUAAAGAGUAACGGAGGAGCACGAAGGUUGGCUAAUCCUGGUCGGACAUCAGGAGGUUAGUGCAAUGGCAUAAGCCAGCUUGACUGCGAGCGUGACGGCGCGAGCAGGUGCGAAAGCAGGUCAUAGUGAUCCGGUGGUUCUGAAUGGAAGGGCCAUCGCUCAACGGAUAAAAGGUACUCCGGGGAUAACAGGCUGAUACCGCCCAAGAGUUCAUAUCGACGGCGGUGUUUGGCACCUCGAUGUCGGCUCAUCACAUCCUGGGGCUGAAGUAGGUCCCAAGGGUAUGGCUGUUCGCCAUUUAAAGUGGUACGCGAGCUGGGUUUAGAACGUCGUGAGACAGUUCGGUCCCUAUCUGCCGUGGGCGCUGGAGAACUGAGGGGGGCUGCUCCUAGUACGAGAGGACCGGAGUGGACGCAUCACUGGUGUUCGGGUUGUCAUGCCAAUGGCACUGCCCGGUAGCUAAAUGCGGAAGAGAUAAGUGCUGAAAGCAUCUAAGCACGAAACUUGCCCCGAGAUGAGUUCUCCCUGAGACUUAGAGUCUCCUGAAGGAACGUUGAAGACGACGACGUUGAUAGGCCGGGUGUGUAAGCGCAGCGAUGCGUUGAGCUAACCGGUACUAAUGAACCGUGAGGCUUAACCUU